RNAcentral lists this ribosomal RNA (416 nucleotides) under Acanthamoeba sp. RNAcentral describes it as "SSU rRNA". It matches the Rfam family "Eukaryotic small subunit ribosomal RNA", at positions 762 to 1116 of the family's 1831-position model. Lineage: Eukaryota; Discosea; Longamoebia; Acanthamoebidae. The record is from RNAcentral.
AAAAUUAGAGUGUUCAAAGCAGGCAGAUCCAAUUUUCUGCCACCGAAUACAUUAGCAUGGGAUAAUGGAAUAGGACCCUGUCCUCCUAUUUUCAGUUGGUUUUGGCAGCGCGAGGACUAGGGUAAUGAUUAAUAGGGAUAGUUGGGGGCAUUAAUAUUUAAUUGUCAGAGGUGAAAUUCUUGGAUUUAUGAAAGAUUAACUUCUGCGAAAGCAUCUGCCAAGGAUGUUUUCAUUAAUCAAGAACGAAAGUUAGGGGAUCGAAGACGAUCAGAUACCGUCGUAGUCUUAACCAUAAACGAUGCCGACCAGCGAUUAGGAGACGUUGAAUACAAAACACCACCAUCGGUUGCGGUCGUCCUUGGCGUCUCGGUUUCGGCCGGGGCGCGGGGGCGGCUUAGCCCGGUGGCACCGGUGAA